This 2114-nucleotide long non-coding RNA is filed under the name Nicotiana benthamiana. RNAcentral describes it as "long non-coding RNA (NBEN_LNC014880)". The record is from RNAcentral. Lineage: Eukaryota; Viridiplantae; Streptophyta; Magnoliopsida; Solanales; Solanaceae.
AGCACUUGCAACAGAGAAACCAACCGAGGAACUCAUGAAGAAGCUACCAGUCGGUAGGACUGAGCCACUUAUCACCAACAUUAUGUGGAGAAAUCUAAUGGCUCAGGCCUUGUAUCAGAUUUUUGUUCUAUUGACCUUCCAAUUUAAAGGAGAAUCAAUCUUUGGCGUCAACACGAGGGUAAAUGUUUGUUCUAUUGACCUUCCAAUUCAAAGGAGAAUCAAUCUUUGGCGUCAACACGAGGGUAAAUGUUUGAUUUUCAACACAUUUGUUCUUUGCCAAGUGUUCAACGAAUGUAAUGUAAUCUGGAGAAGAAGAAUGUUUUCGAGGGAAUACACAAGAACAAGUUGUUUGUGGCAAUCAUUGGAAUCACUUUGGCUCUUCAAGUGGUGAUGGUAGAGUUUCUGAAGAAGUUUGCAGAUACAGAGAGGUUGAAUUGGGGGCAAUGGGGCAUCUGCAUUGGUUUGGCAGCGGCAUCUUGGCCAAUUGGUUGGCUAGUCAAGUGCGUACCUGUCCCAGAGAAACCAGUUUUCAGUUAUGUCAGGUUGAAUUACUUGAAAUCCAUGUUUAAGUGAGUAGAUUUUGUUGUUUUCUUUUUCAUAAUUUGCAGUAGUCUUAGUUUGUUAGUAUGAGUAUAGUUGAUUAAAUGAUUGAUUGAUAUUGCAUUCCUAACUUACCAACAACUUGUAUUUUCAUGUGUUAAUUUUUAAAUAAGGAGUUGUACAGAAUUCUUCUACUACAUUUACAAGACGACUUAAAAAAUUUAUAUAUGCAUACACCUUUCAUUACAUUCUGGUAGUACAAAUAUAGUUUAAGAUAGAAUUCAGUUUGUAAAUAUGUCUAUAGUUCAGUACUUUGUUUACGAGCAGCAACUAAUACUUGCAUUAUGAUAGGCUGUCAAUAUGUCUAAGGUUCAGUACUUUGUUUACGAGCACCAACUAAUACUUGCAUUAGGAUAGGCUGUCUACAUCAAUACCCUUUUGGGUGUGGCCAUUCCCCGACCCUGCAUGAACGCAAGAUGACUUGUGCAACGGGCUGCUCUUUUUUCUCCAGUACUUUGUUCAUGAUUGUAGACACAACAUUCCUUUUGAAAAUGAUAACAAGCUAAAAGUUGUGAAGCUUUCGACUGGGAUUUGUAAUUUGUAUGAACCACAUCAAACUAAUAUGGGGAUCUCCAGAAUACACAAUCCGAUAUAGAAGUUUCAACUCCCUCCAACAUGGAGCUUAAAGAUACGAUUAAUGGCAAGAUACUGAAUAUUAAGAAUAGGUUCUUUUUGAAUUUGAAAGAAUAACAGACCAGUAAGUUUCAUUUCCCAGGAUGAACUAGACAUUUUUCAUCACCGCAAGAAAGAUAUCACAUUCCUUUUGCCGGCCUUUAUAGGACUUUUCAUUAUAUUUUUUUUCCAAUACCAUCCUUCUGAAAAAAAUUUAGCUCAGCUUGACUCAGAGAGAGAUGCACUCAUGCAACAUACAUUUCACACGUAGCACAGAUUUACAUGUAAUAUUACAAUAAUGUCAACACAUAUUAAAUUCUCAAAACCAUAAUUUUAGAAGUGCUACGGGGGUUCAGUAAUAUUAAAAGUUGAUUCUAUCAAGUUUAAAUGUUGGAUCCCCUCUGGCUAAACUUGUGUGUCUAGCCUAGUGUUUCUCCCUUGCCUAUCCACAUUGUCGUGAAGAUAUUCUACAAAUAGUUUUCAGCUCGAUCGCAAGGUUCAAUGGAGAAGAGAUUUUACCUGUUGCAUUUUAGCAAUAUAUUUUCAGCCAGAAGCGGUUUCUACCGCCAGCGAUUUUCUGUCGCUCCUCCUAUAUGACCUAUCAAUGAGGCUUCGAAAUCAUGUUAUUUGCGAGAAGAAUUGGAAUUAAAGCCUUCGUUCCCAAUUUCUUUGCCUUUCUCUUCCUUCUUGGUUCUACAAUUGGGGGCUCCCAUGACAGGGUUACAAGCACGCAGAUCAACUUGAGACUUGAGAGAGCAGAAUUUGGAUUGAACAUGUCAUUUUGGUAUAUAAAUGAAAAUAAAUCACUGAUUCAAAUAAACCUGAAAAUUUGUGAAAAAUAAAAGUUUAAAAGGGGUAACUAAUUAAAAGUAAAGAUCUUGCCCUACUUUGGGGCAGAGAAG